Molecule: ribosomal RNA, 946 nt
Filed under: uncultured Actinomycetaceae bacterium
Lineage: Bacteria; Bacillati; Actinomycetota; Actinomycetes; Actinomycetales; Actinomycetaceae
Description: bacterial SSU rRNA
Rfam family: Bacterial small subunit ribosomal RNA (bases 1-841)
Source: RNAcentral
GACGAACGCUGGCGGCGUGCUUAACGCAUGCAAGUCGAACGGGAUUUAGUAGACAGAAGCUUCGGUGGAAGAUUACUAAUGAGAGUGGCGAACGGGUGAGUAACGCGUGAGCAACCUGCCUAUGACAGUGGGAUAGCCUCGGGAAACCGGGAUUAAUACCGCAUAAAAUCGUAGAAACACAUGUUUUAACGGUCAAAGAUUUAUCGGCCAUAGAUGGGCUCGCGUCCGAUUAGCUAGUUGGUGAGAUAACAGCCCACCAAGGCGACGAUCAGUAGCCGGUCUGAGAGGAUGAACGGCCACAUUGGAACUGAGACACGGUCCAAACUCCUACGGGAGGCAGCAGUGGGGAAUAUUGCACAAUGGGGGAAACCCUGAUGCAGCGACGCCGCGUGAACGAAGAAGGUAUUCGUAUCGUAAAGUUCUGUCCUAUGGGAAGAUAAUGACAGUACCAUAGAAGAAAGCUCCGGCUAAAUACGUGCCAGCAGCCGCGGUAAUACGUAUGUCACAAGCGUUAUCCGGAUUUAUUGGGCGUAAAGCGCGUCUAGGUGGUUAUAUAAGUCUGAUGUGAAAAUGCAGGGCUCAACUCUGUAUUGCGUUGGAAACUGUGUAACUAGAGUACUGGAGAGGUAAGCGGAACUACAAGUGUAGAGGUGAAAUUCGUAGAUAUUUUGUAGGAAUGCCGAUGGGGAAGCCAGCUUACUGGACAGAUACUGACGCUGAAGCGCGAAAGCGUGGGUAGCAAACAGGAUAGAUACCCUAGUAGUUCAGGGCGAAUUCUACAUUGGGCUGCGGCCGGGGGAUCACUAAGUCUAGAGGGGCCGCACGCGGGAGCUCAAUUGCCUAUAGGUGAGUCGGUUAACGGGGGUUCCUGGCCGUCUUUUCAACGUCGUGGCUGUGUAACCCUGGGGUACCAACUAAUGCCUUGCAGACAAUCCUCUUUUGGCAG